RNAcentral lists this ribosomal RNA (447 nucleotides) under uncultured bacterium. RNAcentral's name for it is "partial 16S ribosomal RNA". It matches the Rfam family "Bacterial small subunit ribosomal RNA", at positions 29 to 523 of the family's 1533-position model. The record is from RNAcentral.
AACGAACGCUGGCGGCAGGCUUAACACAUGCAAGUCGAACGCCCCGCAAGGGGAGUGGCAGACGGGUGAGUAACGCGUGGGAAUCUACCGUACCCUACGGAAUAGCUCCGGGAAACUGGAAUUAAUACCGUAUACGCCCUACGGGGGAAAGAUUUAUAGGGGUAUGAUGAGCCCGCGUUGGAUUAGCUAGUUGGUGGGGUAAAGGCCUACCAAGGCGACGAUCCAUAGCUGGUCUGAGAGGAUGAUCAGCCACAUUGGGACUGAGACACGGCCCAAACUCCUACGGGAGGCAGCAGUGGGGAAUAUUGGACAAUGGGCGCAAGCCUGAUCCAGCCAUGCCGCGUGAGUGAUGAAGGUCUUAGGAUUGUAAAGCUCUUUCACCGAUGAAGAUAAUGACGGUAGUCGGAGAAGAAGCCCCGGCUAACUUCGUGCCAGCAGCCGCGGUAA